Molecule: long non-coding RNA, 639 nt
Organism: Mustela lutreola (European mink)
Lineage: Eukaryota; Metazoa; Chordata; Mammalia; Carnivora; Mustelidae
Exons: 3
Source: RefSeq, a predicted model, not a curated record
AAAAAAAUGGCCUCCACCACUCGAUGGGAGGAGCAGCAAAGUCUAAUUCCAAAAGGGCAUGGACACGAGGAGAUUGUCUAUUAUAGGUAAGAUUCUGGAACCCAAAGUUGUCAAAACAAGAUGCUGGUCCUUACCACGGUGAACUAUUUGGGAGAGAGAUCUUUAUCACUUAUUCGGAAAUGAGACAAAGGACAAAGGUUAUGUGUUUUCCUUCAUUCAGUACUGGAAACCAGGUUUUCCAAAUUCUCAUCAGGAGUCUUUAAACACCUUGAAGACGAUUAAAAUAUGACGGCAAUGCACUGUGAUGGAUAAGGAAGUCGUUCACUGUCCCCUGCAGAUAUAAACACCCCGGAGAAAUACAACAGUCUGAGACAUGGGAAGAGAGCCACACACAAAGGAUUUUGAGAAUCUUAACUGUGAGGAGGUAGUUAUAGUUCAACAGAAAGAAACAAAUUCCUCGACAACUGGAAGAUUCUUUCUGCAGAUAGAUAUUUGAGUUGGAUCUUUGGCUGCUACAGUAAAACCCCGAAGCAGAAGACGCUCUUCCAAAAUCCUCUUCCAUAGGGAUAUCAUCUCAUGAAGGGAAGGACUGCAUAAAAUGGGCUUGGGGUUUUUGACUGCACCACGUCCAAGUUGUAA